Molecule: ribosomal RNA, 266 nt
Filed under: uncultured bacterium
Lineage: Bacteria
Description: partial 16S ribosomal RNA
Rfam family: Bacterial small subunit ribosomal RNA
Source: RNAcentral
UGGCGACCGGCGCACGGGUGAGUAACGCGUAUCCAACCUGCCCUUUACUAUGGGACAGCCCGUCGAAAGGCGGAUUAAUACCGUAUGUUGUCAUGUUGAUGCAUAUUUUCAUGACCAAAGGCUUCGGCCGGUAAAGGAUGGGGAUGCGUCUGAUUAGCUUGCCGGCGGGGUAACGGCCCACCGGGGCGACAUCAGUAGGGGUUCUGAGAGGAAGGUCCCCCACAUUGGAACUGAGACACGGUCCAAACUCCUACGGAAGGCAGCAG